Molecule: ribosomal RNA, 119 nt
Organism: Scophthalmus maximus (turbot)
Lineage: Eukaryota; Metazoa; Chordata; Actinopteri; Pleuronectiformes; Scophthalmidae
Source: Ensembl
GCUUACGGCCACACCGCCUGCUUCACGCCCGAUCUCGUUUGAUCUCGGAAGCUAAAAUAGGGUGGGCCUGGUUAGUACUUGGAUGGGAGACCGCCUGGGAAUACCAGGUGCUGUAAGCU